UACGUAGGGGGCAAGCGUUGUCCGGAUUCAUUGGGCGUAAAGAGCGUGUAGGCGGCCAGGCAGGUCCGCUGUGAAAACUCGAGGCUCAACCUCGAGAUGUCGGUGGAAACCGUCUGGCUAGAGUCCGGAAGAGGAGAGUGGAAUUCCCGGUGUAGCGGUGAAAUGCGCAGAUAUCGGGAAGAACACCAGUGGCGAAGGCGGCUCUCUGGGACGGUACUGACGCUGAGACGCGAAAGCGUGGGGAGCGAACAGG
Molecule: ribosomal RNA, 253 nt
Filed under: uncultured bacterium
Lineage: Bacteria
Description: partial 16S ribosomal RNA
Rfam family: Bacterial small subunit ribosomal RNA
Source: RNAcentral